This 253-nucleotide ribosomal RNA is filed under the name uncultured bacterium. RNAcentral's name for it is "partial 16S ribosomal RNA". It matches the Rfam family "Bacterial small subunit ribosomal RNA", at positions 524 to 776 of the family's 1533-position model. The record is from RNAcentral.
UACGCAGGGGGCUAGCGUUGCUCGGAUUUACUGGGCGUAAAGGGCGCGUAGGCGGACAGUUUAGUCAGAGGUGAAAGCCCAGGGCUCAACCUUGGAAUUGCCUUUGAUACUGGCUGUCUUGAGUACGGGAGAGGUGAGUGGAACUCCGAGUGUAGAGGUGAAAUUCGUAGAUAUUCGGAAGAACACCAGUGGCGAAGGCGACUCACUGGCCCGUUACUGACGCUGAGGCGCGAAAGCGUGGGGAGCAAACAGG